RNAcentral lists this ribosomal RNA (688 nucleotides) under Rhizophagus irregularis. Its description in RNAcentral is "partial large subunit ribosomal RNA". It matches the Rfam family "Eukaryotic large subunit ribosomal RNA", at positions 89 to 625 of the family's 3401-position model. The record is from RNAcentral. Lineage: Eukaryota; Fungi; Glomeromycota; Glomeromycetes; Glomerales; Glomeraceae.
GCGAGUGAAGAGGGACAAGCUCAAAUUUUAAAUCCAUCGGGUUUUACCCGAUCGAGUUGUAAUUUGAAGAGGCGUUUUCUGUGUAUCUGAUCAGUCCAAGUCCUUUGGGAUAAGGCAUCAUGGAGGGUGAGAAUCCCGUCCGGUUGAUCAGAUUCGCUUUACGAUACGCUUUCUAAGAGUCAAGUUGUUUGGGAUUGCAGCUUAAAAUGGGAGGUAAAUUUCUCCUAAGGCUAAAUAACGGCGAGAGACCGAUAGCGAACAAGUACCGUGAGGGAAAGAUGAAAAGAACUUUGAAAAGAGAGUUAAAUAGUACGUGAAAUUGUUGAAAGGGAAACGAUUGAAGCCAGUCGUACCUAUGGGUAAUCAGCCUUUUGGGUGUGAUUUUGUGGAGCGUGAGGAGUUAAACGCCUUCAUGCCUGCAUAUUCGUGCACUUUGGGUGUACUUGCCCGUAUGGUUGGUUAACAUCAAUUUUGGUGGUCAUAAAAUGACUGGAGGAAUGUAGCUUCGAUCUCGUAUUGAAGUGUUAUAGCCUUCGGUAGAUGUGAUGAUCGAGAUUGAGGAUUGCAACGGAUACCCCUCGGGGCUACCUGUCUGAUCUCUGAUCGUUGCUCUGGUGCCGAAAGCUUGCUUACGGUUAUCAAAGUCGAUGGUCAAUAGGUUAGAACGGGUUAAAUUCGUUAAGGAUGU